GGGUUGUGAGGUUAAGCGACUAAGCGUACACGGUGGAUGCCCUGGCAGUCAGAGGCGAUGAAGGACGUGCUAAUCUGCGAAAAGCGCCGGCGAGGUGAUAUGAACCUUUGACCCGGCGAUGUCCGAAUGGGGAAACCCAGUGCAAUCCGUUGCACUAUCGUUUGAUGAAUACAUAGUCAAACGAGGCGAACCGGGGGAACUGAAACAUCUAAGUACCCCGAGGAAAAGAAAUCAACCGAGAUUCCCCCAGUAGCGGCGAGCGAACGGGGAGCAGCCCAGAGCCUGAAUCAGCUUGUGUGUUAGUGGAAGCGUCUGGAAAGUCGCGCGAUACAGGGUGACAGCCCCGUACACGAAAGCACACAGGUUGUGAGCUCGAUGAGUAGGGCGGGACACGUGGUAUCCUGUCUGAAUAUGGGGGGACCAUCCUCCAAGGCUAAAUACUCCUGACUGACCGAUAGUGAACCAGUACCGUGAGGGAAAGGCGAAAAGAACCCCGGCGAGGGGAGUGAAAAAGAACCUGAAACCGUGUACGUACAAGCAGUGGGAGCCUCUUAAUGGGGUGACUGCGUACCUUUUGUAUAAUGGGUCAGCGACUUAUAUUCUGUAGCAAGGUUAACCGAAUAGGGGAGCCGAAGGGAAACCGAGUCUUAACUGGGCGUUAAGUUGCAGGGUAUAGACCCGAAACCCGGUGAUCUAGCCAUGGGCAGGUUGAAGGUUGGGUAACACUAACUGGAGGACCGAACCGACUAAUGUUGAAAAAUUAGCGGAUGACUUGUGGCUGGGGGUGAAAGGCCAAUCAAACCGGGAGAUAGCUGGUUCUCCCCGAAAGCUAUUUAGGUAGCGCCUCGUGAAUUCAUCUCCGGGGGUAGAGCACUGUUUCGGCUAGGGGGCCAUCCCGGCUUACCAACCCGAUGCAAACUACGAAUACCGGAGAAUGUUAUCACGGGAGACACACGGCGGGUGCUAACGUCCGUCGUGAAGAGGGAAACAACCCAGACCGCCAGCUAAGGUCCCAAAGUCAUGGUUAAGUGGGAAACGAUGUGGGAAGGCACAGACAGCCAGGAUGUUGGCUUAGAAGCAGCCAUCAUUUAAAGAAAGCGUAAUAGCUCACUGGUCGAGUCGGCCUGCGCGGAAGAUGUAACGGGGCUAAACCAUGCACCGAAGCUGCGGCAGCGACACUAAGUGUUGUUGGGUAGGGGAGCGUUCUGUAAGCCUGCGAAGGUGUGCUGUGAGGCAUGCUGGAGGUAUCAGAAGUGCGAAUGCUGACAUAAGUAACGAUAAAGCGGGUGAAAAGCCCGCUCGCCGGAAGACCAAGGGUUCCUGUCCAACGUUAAUCGGGGCAGGGUGAGUCGACCCCUAAGGCGAGGCCGAAAGGCGUAGUCGAUGGGAAACAGGUUAAUAUUCCUGUACUUGGUGUUACUGCGAAGGGGGGACGGAGAAGGCUAUGUUAGCCGGGCGACGGUUGUCCCGGUUUAAGCAUGUAGGCUGGUUAUCCAGGCAAAUCCGGAUAAUCAAGGCUGAGGUGUGAUGACGAGUCACUACGGUGAUGAAGUAACAAAUGCCCUGCUUCCAGGAAAAGCCUCUAAGCAUCAGGUAACACGAAAUCGUACCCCAAACCGACACAGGUGGUCAGGUAGAGAAUACCAAGGCGCUUGAGAGAACUCGGGUGAAGGAACUAGGCAAAAUGGUGCCGUAACUUCGGGAGAAGGCACGCUGAUAUGUAGGUGAAGCCCCUGCGGGCGGAGCUGAAAUCAGUCGAAGAUACCAGCUGGCUGCAACUGUUUAUUAAAAACACAGCACUGUGCAAACACGAAAGUGGACGUAUACGGUGUGACGCCUGCCCGGUGCCGGAAGGUUAAUUGAUGGGGUUAUCCGUAAGGAGAAGCUCUUGAUCGAAGCCCCGGUAAACGGCGGCCGUAACUAUAACGGUCCUAAGGUAGCGAAAUUCCUUGUCGGGUAAGUUCCGACCUGCACGAAUGGCGUAAUGAUGGCCAGGCUGUCUCCACCCGAGACUCAGUGAAAUUGAACUCGCUGUGAAGAUGCAGUGUACCCGCGGCAAGACGGAAAGACCCCGUGAACCUUUACUAUAGCUUGACACUGAACAUUGAGCCUUGAUGUGUAGGAUAGGUGGGAGGCUUUGAAGUGUGGACGCCAGUCUGCAUGGAGCCAACCUUGAAAUACCACCCUUUAAUGUUUGAUGUUCUAACGUGGACCCGUAAUCCGGGUUGCGGACAGUGUCUGGUGGGUAGUUUGACUGGGGCGGUCUCCUCCCAAAGAGUAACGGAGGAGCACGAAGGUUGGCUAAUCCUGGUCGGACAUCAGGAGGUUAGUGCAAUGGCAUAAGCCAGCUUGACUGCGAGCGUGACGGCGCGAGCAGGUGCGAAAGCAGGUCAUAGUGAUCCGGUGGUUCUGAAUGGAAGGGCCAUCGCUCAACGGAUAAAAGGUACUCCGGGGAUAACAGGCUGAUACCGCCCAAGAGUUCAUAUCGACGGCGGUGUUUGGCACCUCGAUGUCGGCUCAUCACAUCCUGGGGCUGAAGUAGGUCCCAAGGGUAUGGCUGUUCGCCAUUUAAAGUGGUACGCGAGCUGGGUUUAGAACGUCGUGAGACAGUUCGGUCCCUAUCUGCCGUGGGCGCUGGAGAAUUGAGGGGGGCUGCUCCUAGUACGAGAGGACCGGAGUGGACGCAUCACUGGUGUUCGGGUUGUCAUGCCAAUGGCACUGCCCGGUAGCUACAUGCGGAAGAGAUAAGUGCUGAAAGCAUCUAAGCACGAAACUUGCCCCGAGAUGAGUUCUCCCCUGGACUUUAAGUCCACUAAAGGAACGUUGAAGACGACGACGUUGAUAGGCCGGGUGUGUAAGCGCAGCGAUGCGUUGAGCUAACCGGUACUAAUGAACCGUGAGGCUUAACCUUACAACGCCGAAG
Molecule: ribosomal RNA, 2923 nt
Filed under: Enterobacteriaceae bacterium ENNIH2
Lineage: Bacteria; Pseudomonadati; Pseudomonadota; Gammaproteobacteria; Enterobacterales; Enterobacteriaceae
Also listed under: 1 other name
Description: 23S ribosomal RNA
Rfam family: Bacterial large subunit ribosomal RNA
Source: RNAcentral